RNAcentral lists this ribosomal RNA (868 nucleotides) under uncultured bacterium. Its description in RNAcentral is "SSU rRNA". It matches the Rfam family "Bacterial small subunit ribosomal RNA", at positions 524 to 1381 of the family's 1533-position model. The record is from RNAcentral.
GACGUAGGAUGCAAGCGUUGUCCGGAAUCAUUGGGCGUAAAGCGUUCGUAGGCGGCAUGUCAAGUCUGAUGUUAAAGCCCGGAGCUCAACUCCGGUUCGGCAUUGGAUACUGGCAAGCUAGAGUGCAAUAGAGGUAGGGGGAAUUCCUAGUGUAGCGGUGAAAUGCGUAGAUAUUAGGAGGAACACCGGUGGCGAAAGCGCCCUACUGGGUUGUAACUGACGCUGAGGAACGAAAGCCAGGGUAGCAAAUGGGAUUAGAUACCCCAGUAGUCCUGGCCGUAAACGAUGGAUACUAGGUGUUGCGGGUAUCGACCCCCGUAGUGCCGUAGUUAACGCGAUAAGUAUCCCGCCUGGGGAGUACGCACGCAAGUGUGAAACUCAAAGGAAUUGACGGGGACCCGCACAAGCGGUGGAACAUGUGGUUUAAUUCGAAGCAACGCGAAGAACCUUACCAGGGCUUGACAUCUAACAAACCUCUGCGAAAGUAGAGGGUGCUCUUCGGAGAAUGUUAAGACAGGUGGUGCACGGUUGUCGUCAGCUCGUGUCGUGAGAUGUUGGGUUAAGUCCCGCAACGAGCGCAACCCUUGUUGUUAGUUGCUUACAGUGGUACACUACUGUAUAGCUCUCUAGCAAGACUGCCGGUGAUAAACCGGAGGAAGGUGAGGACGACGUCAAAUCAUCAUGCCCCUUAUGCUCUGGGCUACACACGUGUUACAAUGGGUAGGACAACGAGCAGCCAAUCAGCGAUGAUGAGCAAAUCUCUUAAACUUAUCCUCAGUUCGGAUCGUAGUCUGCAACUCGACUACGUGAAGUCGGAAUCGCUAGUAAACGCAGAUCAGCACGCUGCGUUGAAUACGUUCCCGGGUCU